GACCGGGGAGGGGGCGAGAGUCGCGAAGCAAAAGGCCCCUUCCCAGCUCUCCCCCCUCCUCCGAAACUGGCUCCCCUUCCCUCUCCCCUUCUCCCCCAUCUCCUCCUGUUGUGUUUUAAAGCUCCACCAACAUCUUUUCUAAGCCAGCCCUGUGUGUCAGCAUGGGGGCAGGAGAGGCAUCCUCUCACAGCUGGUGCUUCCCGCAUGAACUUCGAGUAUCCAGAAAUGCCACGGAGGAGGAUUCCUACCACUGCCACGUGCUUCAGUAGUGGGCAAUAGCAGUGAGUAUGAAUGUGGUUUAUUUUUCUCCAUAAAGCUGCACUUCAGCUCACUCACACCUUUGCAGAAACAGAGGGUACGGACACACACAUGCAUCUCCUCAGAUAACCACGUUUCACAUUACCCUUGCUGAAGCAGUGUGGGAGGAAGCAGAGAAGUGAAGGCUAUCAAAAGAGAGGAGGUCAGAGAAGUAGGAAAGAAUGGUCAUGAAACUGCCCUCACCUUGUUGGCACACAUGCCUGUGACUGACCUGCAUGUAUGCAUGUGGGGUUGGGCCAUAUGCUUGACUGGAGCAUUCCUCAUCGUUCCUCCCUUGUGAUCAUUGCCUGUAAGCAUCAUAUGUGCUCAGCACUCACCUCCUGCCUCUCAGCACCCUGAACCAGGGUCAGAGUGCUCAGCACUCUUGCUAGCAAGGGAUGUAGUGUUCUAAACCAGCAGCAGGAUGUUUGCCCCAGUGUGUGUACUGCAGGCUGUGCUCCGUGUGUGUACUCGUGUGCAGGCACACGUGUGCAGGUGUGCAUGUGUGUGUUAUGUGAGCAUGUCUCCCUUGGCAGCACAAUGGAAGAGCAAAGUGUAAUAUGCUCCCGCUGUGGCUUCGUGGAUGAAUUGUCUACAAAGGGCUCUUCAAGCUGAACACACACCGCAAAGGCGCAUGGCACUUCUCCGGGUGAACAAUGGCUGGGGCUGAGAGGCAGUGCUGCUGAGAAGCAUCCCUACACUGCCUGUCAAGGGGAAAGGGCUUGUGAUUUACCCCUGAAACAGCAUUUAUAAAUGAAUUCCUGGGAUCACUGUGGGAUCAGGGGCAUGGGAAAGAAGAGGAAAGGGAGGACAGGGAUGAAAUAC
This 1122-nucleotide long non-coding RNA is filed under the name Melopsittacus undulatus (budgerigar). RNAcentral describes it as "lncRNA (ENSMUNG00000019515.1)". Lineage: Eukaryota; Metazoa; Chordata; Aves; Psittaciformes; Psittaculidae. The record is from RNAcentral.